Non-coding RNA from Gossypium arboreum, 145 nucleotides. The record is from Rfam. Lineage: Eukaryota; Viridiplantae; Streptophyta; Magnoliopsida; Malvales; Malvaceae.
CAUUAAAAAAAUCAUCCAUUUCUACUGUUAAAAACUGGUGUGGUUGGCGGAAUAACCAUAUAGUUACACAUAGUGUGCCAUGUGUACCUCGUGAUGACGUGCAAUGACCUUUUUUUAACAGUAGAAAUAGAUGAAAAUUUUAAAG